UGGGGAAUAUUGGACAAUGGGGGGAACCCUGAUCCAGCCAUGCCGCGUGUGUGAAGAAGGCCUUAUGGUUGUAAAGCACUUUAAGCGAGGAGGAGGGUACUGGUAUUAAUACUACCAGGUACUGGACGUUACUCGCAGAAUAAGCACCGGCUAACCCUGUGCCAGCAGCCGCGGUAAUACAGAGGGUGCAAGCGUUAAUCGGAAUUACUGGGCGUAAAGCGCGCGUAGGUGGUUCGUUAAGUUGAAUGUGAAAGCCCCGGGCUCAACCUGGGAACUGCAUCCAAAACUGGCGAGCUAGAGUAGGGCAGAGGGUGGUGGAAUUUCCUGUGUAGCGGUGAAAUGCGUAGAUAUAGGAAGGAACACCAGUGGCGAAGGCGACCACCUGGGCUCAUACUGACACUGAGGUGCGAAAGCGUGGGGAGCAAACAGG
This 430-nucleotide ribosomal RNA is filed under the name Pseudomonadota bacterium. RNAcentral's name for it is "Proteobacteria bacterium partial 16S ribosomal RNA". It matches the Rfam family "Bacterial small subunit ribosomal RNA", at positions 355 to 776 of the family's 1533-position model. Lineage: Bacteria; Pseudomonadati; Pseudomonadota. The record is from RNAcentral.